Molecule: ribosomal RNA, 432 nt
Filed under: uncultured bacterium
Lineage: Bacteria
Description: partial 16S ribosomal RNA
Rfam family: Bacterial small subunit ribosomal RNA
Source: RNAcentral
AACGAACGCUGGCGGCAUGCCUAACACAUGCAAGUCGAACGAGACCAUCGGGUCUAGUGGCGCACGGGUGCGUAACGCGUGGGAACCUGCCCUUAGGUUCGGAAUAACUCCCCGAAAGGGGUGCUAAUACCGGAUAAUGUCUUCGGACCAAAGAUUUAUCGCCUUUGGAUGGGCCCGCGUUGGAUUAGCUAGUUGGUAGGGUAAAAGCCUACCAAGGCGACGAUCCAUAGCUGGUCUGAGAGGAUGAUCAGCCACACUGGGACUGAGACACGGCCCAGACUCCUACGGGAGGCAGCAGUGGGGAAUAUUGGACAAUGGGCGAAAGCCUGAUCCAGCAAUGCCGCGUGAGUGAUGAAGGCCUUAGGGUUGUAAAGCUCUUUUACCCGGGAUGAUAAUGACAGUACCGGGAGAAUAAGCUCCGGCUAACUCCGU